Molecule: ribosomal RNA, 483 nt
Filed under: uncultured Nitrosomonadaceae bacterium
Lineage: Bacteria; Pseudomonadati; Pseudomonadota; Betaproteobacteria; Nitrosomonadales; Nitrosomonadaceae
Description: bacterial SSU rRNA
Rfam family: Bacterial small subunit ribosomal RNA
Source: RNAcentral
UUGAACGCUGGCGGCAUGCUUUACACAUGCAAGUCGAACGGCAGCACGGGGGCACCCUGGUGGCGAGUGGCGAACGGGUGAGGAAUGCAUCGGAACGUAUCUUCAAGUGGGGGAUAACGCAUCGAAAGGUGUGCUAAUACCGCAUAAUCUCUGAGGAGAAAAGCAGGGGAUCGCAAGACCUUGCGCUUUUGGAGCGGCCGAUGUCUGAUUAGCUUGUUGGUGAGGUAAAAGCUCACCAAGGCUUCGAUCAGUAGCUGGUCUGAGAGGACGACCAGCCACACUGGGACUGAGACACGGCCCAGACUCCUACGGGAGGCAGCAGUGGGGAAUUUUGGACAAUGGGGGAAACCCUGAUCCAGCCAUGCCGCGUGAGUGAAGAAGGCCUUCGGGUUGUAAAGCUCUUUCAGCCGGAACGAAACGGUUACGGUUAAUACCCGUGACUACUGACGGUACCGGAAGAAGAAGCACCGGCUAACUACGUGC